This is an RNA transcript of Daphnia magna, 2108 nucleotides long. It is a transcript of the gene named clavesin-1, with no coding region annotated. The record is from RefSeq and is a predicted model, not a curated record. The transcript has 11 exons. NCBI's taxonomy places the organism in Eukaryota, Metazoa, Arthropoda, Branchiopoda, Diplostraca, Daphniidae.
UAAUCCAUAGAUGGCCGUUGGAUUGUCUGGUUGAAAGGAAAGAAGUAGCACAGCAAAAUUUAGCUUCUUACCUGGAUUCCACUUGGGCUCCUCUAUUCAGCUGUAGGCAGUCUGUUUGUGAGCAGGAAGGUAGGUGGUACGUGCUAGCCUGCAGAGUGUCAUUUAGGAGUAUUUCGUCGAAGAAAUUGAUGAGUGCUAGCGCAUUCUUUCGUGAACGUGACAGAGAAAGUUGUGACACAGAUGUCGCGUCCUCGAAAUCCGGGUGAAAUGAAAAGGCAAUAGCCAAAAGAACUGAUACGAAGACUUCGAUAUGUCUGAGUUUUACGAUUUCUUCUGGGGCACUGCUGAAACAAACAGGAAUUUCGACAUAAACAUUGAAACAACUGACACACCAUUGGCACGCAGUGUUGCUUUAGAAAGUUUCAGAAGCUUAGUUCUUGCUCGUCCCGAUGCCGGGAGUCUACGAUCUGAUGAUGAAUUCCUAAUCCGAUUUCUGGCAGCAAGAAAAAUGAAUGUUCCAGACGCCAUGCUGGUGUAUAACAACUACUACAGUUUCCUGCGUCGCAAUCACGAACUAAUUUCUGACUAUGGCGUCGACAAUGUCGAGGUAAAGCAAGCCUUGGAAGAUGGGCUACCUGGAGUGCUGCAGCAGCGAGAUCGUCGAGGACGUCGUAUCAUGGUUUUGUUCGCUGCUGAAUGGGAUCCGAGCCGAUACUCGGUCUCAACUAUACAAAAGAAACGAAAUGCAUUUAUGUUACAGGCCAUUCAUAUUUCACUUGAUCUGCUGCUACAGGAUUCAGUGGUUCAAGAUAGAGGCUUAGUUCUCAUAAUUGACUGGAGUCAGUUUUCCUUUCGGCAGUAUAGCAAACUCCAGCCUGCUGUCCUUCACUCCAUAGCCCACGGAUUGGAAUAUUGCUAUCCGGUGCGUUUCAAAGCGAUUCACUGCGUUGGGCCGCCUUGGUACGUCGAUGCAGCUAUGUCGCUUCUGAAGCCAUUCUUACGUGAAACGUCGAGGGCAAAGAUUUUCAGCUGUGGAAAUAACUUGUCCAUCUUGCAUCAAGCUGUAUCGCGAGAAAUUUUGCCAGCUGAGCUCGGAGGGGAGCAAGGUCCAUAUCUAUCUUCCAUUUGGAUAGAUAAUCUAAGAAGAGCUCAAGUUUGAGUUUAAAAGAUUUGAUUACGAGAAGAAGGAGUUUCCUCGUUGAGUAAGAAACGAACAACAUAACAACAACGUUCGCAUCAACUUGCUGUAGGGAACAUACCGCAAUUAGUUUAGCAACAUCGAUCAUCGAUCGGAGAAAAAUGAAUUGGUAGUUUUCAACUAACUUCUGAUACCUCUAUCAACGUAAGGUACCCACACACAUCUUUUGAAAGACAGUUCAGAUAAGUGUGAACGAAUCAAAGAACAAAAACGAGUCCGUAACCGUCAUAAAGAACAAAUGCAAAUCACGCCAUUCAAAGAGAGAGGAAAAAAAUCACUUAAUUUGGACUUGUUGGUGCUUUUCCCAAGGAAAAACAAGACAACAUCUUUCUUUUCCGUCAGUACUGUAAAGGUUGUAGCUGUCAUCGGACUUCGGCUGCUUUCACACGAGCAAAAGCGCCAGUUCAUUGAGGGAAAGUAGAGCAUUACACCACUUACCAAAGUAGUUAAUUUUAGAUGUGCGUAACGAAAAACGUGUAAUUACCAUGAGGAAGCAUGGAAUGGACGCUAUCAGUGCCCAGGACAGCUGCCACAAAUUGAUGAUGCCUCACGUAAUUUUCCUCAAGUUUAUUUAACUUCUCCAGCUCGAGUCCAUUCUUCCAAGCAAUCACUACUUCACGUGCAAUGGAUAACACCUGUUGUAGGAAUUGUCUGAUCAGAAAAUAUGGGUACUUCCCAACUUCUACACUUGUUAUACCUCGUUGAUGGCAUCGCGCAAAAAGGCCCCCGACGGUUGUUGCAGGCAUUGUUUAUGUAUAGAAAUAACAUAUUCUUGGUGGCUGUCGAUUAUUUGACCAAGAUGAACUGCAUUUUCUAGUUGCAUAUCCAAUCGAAUAUGUGAUGAUUCUAAAACACACUCCAUUAUGUAGUUGUCCACACUAGAAAUAAAAUAAAGCAGCCAAGCCCGUAA